This 390-nucleotide ribosomal RNA is filed under the name Tylopsis lilifolia. RNAcentral describes it as "eukaryotic LSU rRNA". The stretch from base 333 to 390 matches the Rfam family "Eukaryotic large subunit ribosomal RNA", at positions 1 to 58 of the family's 3401-position model. The record is from RNAcentral. Lineage: Eukaryota; Metazoa; Arthropoda; Insecta; Orthoptera; Tettigoniidae.
UGCAGGACACAUGAACAUCGACAUUUCGAACGCACAUUGCGGUCCAUGGAUUCCGUUCCCGGACCACGCCUGGCUGAGGGUCGGUAGCUAAAACUGAAAUGCAAAAUUUUUUUCGAUGGUGAGAGCUUCGCUGUAGGUGCGGCUUCGGUCGCCCCGGCGUCUCUUUAAAAAAGUUCCGUAAGGAACUGGACUUGUCACGAAAGAAACGGUGGCGAUGUGUCUCGGCGGUUGGUUUCGGUGGUCCGCGCAGCGUCCUAGUAUGCUGGUGCUGGUUGCCCCGAGCUUCUUGCCGAGCGCGUCGCUCCGUUGUGACAAACGUCUAUAUCAUGCCACGACCUCAGAGCAGGCGAGACUACCCGCUGAAUUUAAGCAUAUCAAUAAGCGGAGAAA